This 303-nucleotide long non-coding RNA is filed under the name Pelobates cultripes (western spadefoot toad). Lineage: Eukaryota; Metazoa; Chordata; Amphibia; Anura; Pelobatidae. The record is from RNAcentral.
UAUAGUGCCCUGAGGGUGCCCCCACCCUCAGGUACCCCCUCCCGCCCGGCUCUGGAAGGGGGAAAGGGGUUAAAACUUACCUUUUUCCAGCGCUGGGCGGGAGCUCUCCUCCUCCGAUCCUCCUCUUCUCCUCCCCGUCGGCUGAAUGCGCACGCGCGGCAAGAGUUGCGCGCGCAUUCAGCCGGUCACAUAGGAAAGCAUUCAUAAUGCUUUCCUAUGGACGCUGGCGUGCUCUCACUGUGAAAAUCACAGUGAGAAGCACGCAAGCGCCUCUAGCGGCUGUCAAUGAGACAGCCACUAGAG